GGACUACUGGGGUUUCUAAUCCUGUUUGCUCCCCACGCUUUCGCAGUUGAGUGUCAGUGUCCGUCCAGUGGGCCGCCUUCGCCGCUGGUAUUCCUCCCGAUCUCUACGCAUUUCACCGCUACACCGGGAAUUCUACCCACCUCUCCGGAACUCGAGUCUCACCGUUUCUUGGGCCCUUCUUGGGUUAAGCCCAAGGAUUUCACCCAAGACAAAUGAGACCACCUACUUGCCCUUUACGCCCAAUGAUUCCGAGCAACGCUUGCACCCUCUGUAUUACCGCGGCUGCUGGCAC
This 292-nucleotide ribosomal RNA is filed under the name uncultured bacterium. RNAcentral describes it as "partial 16S ribosomal RNA". The record is from RNAcentral.